AAUGAACGCUGGCGGCAUGCCUAACACAUGCAAGUCGAACGAAGGCUUCGGCCUUAGUGGCGCACGGGUGCGUAACGCGUGGGAAUCUGCCCUUGGGUUCGGAAUAACAGUUAGAAAUGACUGCUAAUACCGGAUGAUGUCGUAAGACCAAAGAUUUAUCGCCCAAGGAUGAGCCCGCGUAGGAUUAGCUAGUUGGUGGGGUAAAGGCCUACCAAGGCGACGAUCCUUAGCUGGUCUGAGAGGAUGAUCAGCCACACUGGGACUGAGACACGGCCCAGACUCCUACGGGAGGCAGCAGUGGGGAAUAUUGGACAAUGGGCGAAAGCCUGAUCCAGCGAUGCCGCGUGAGUGAUGAAGGCCUUAGGGUUGUAAAGCUCUUUUACCCGGGAUGAUAAUGACAGUACCGGGAGAAUAAGCUCCGGCUAACUUCGUG
RNAcentral lists this ribosomal RNA (433 nucleotides) under uncultured bacterium. RNAcentral's name for it is "partial 16S ribosomal RNA". It matches the Rfam family "Bacterial small subunit ribosomal RNA", at positions 29 to 507 of the family's 1533-position model. The record is from RNAcentral.